This 235-nucleotide ribosomal RNA is filed under the name uncultured bacterium. RNAcentral's name for it is "partial 16S ribosomal RNA". It matches the Rfam family "Bacterial small subunit ribosomal RNA", at positions 114 to 334 of the family's 1533-position model. The record is from RNAcentral.
CACGUAGGUAAUUUGCCUUUGGGUGGGGAAUAACUCAGGGAAACUUGAGCUAAUACCGCAUAAUGCAGCGGCUCGACAUCGAGACAGUUGUUAAAGCGGGGAAUCGAAAGACCUCGCGUCUAAAGAGGAGCCUGCGGCGGAUUAGCUAGUUGGUAGGGUAACGGCCUACCAAGGCUACGAUCCGUAGCCGGCCUGAGAGGGCGGUCGGCCACACUGACACUGACAUACGGGUCAG